This 494-nucleotide ribosomal RNA is filed under the name uncultured bacterium. RNAcentral describes it as "partial 16S ribosomal RNA". It matches the Rfam family "Bacterial small subunit ribosomal RNA", at positions 28 to 507 of the family's 1533-position model. The record is from RNAcentral.
GACGAACGCUGGCGGCGUGCUUAACACAUGCAAGUCGAACGGUGAAGCGCCUUCCUUUUUGGUGGGUGUGGGUGAGUGGCGAACGGGUGAGUAACACGUGAGUAACCUGCCCCCUUCUACUGGAUAACCGCAUGAAAGUGUGGCUAAUACUGGAGAUUCUGGGUCUGUCGCAUGAUGGGUCUGGGAGAGAUCUUGUUUCGGUGGGGGAUGGGCUCGCGGCCUAUCAGCUUGGUGGUGGGGUGACGGCCUACCAAGGCGGUGCGGUGUGGCCGGCCUGGGAGGGUGGACGGUCACAGUGGGGAGGCGACGCCGAGACGCCUCCGACAGGAAGCAGCAGGGAGGAAUAGUGCACAAGGGGCGGAAGGCUGACGCAGCGACGCCGCUGGGGGGAUGGUGUCCGGCGGGUUGUGAACUUCUUUCGGGAGUGAAGCAGGCCUGCCUCGUGUGUGGGUGGGUUGACGUUAGCUGGAGAAGAAGCGCCGGCUAACUACGUG